UGGGGAAUAUUGGGCAAUGGGGGAAACCCUGACCCAGCGACGCCGCGUGAGGGAAGACGGUCUUCGGAUUGUAAACCUCUUUCAGCAGGGAAGAAGAAGUGACGGUACCUGCAGAAGAAGCCACGGCUAACUACGUGCCAGCAGCCGCGGUAAUACGUAGGUGGCAAGCGUUAUCCGGAUUUAUUGGGUGUAAAGGGUGUGUAGGCGGGACUGCAAGUCAGACGUGAAAAUCAUGGGCUCAACCCAUGACUUGCGUUUGAAACUGCGGUUCUUGAGAGUGGGAGAGGUAAACGGAAUUCCUGGUGUAGCGGUGAAAUGCGUAGAUAUCAGGAGGAACACCGGUGGCGAAGGCGGUUUACUGGACCACAACUGACGCUGAGACACGAAAGCGUGGGGAGCAAACA
This 404-nucleotide ribosomal RNA is filed under the name uncultured bacterium. RNAcentral describes it as "bacterial SSU rRNA". It matches the Rfam family "Bacterial small subunit ribosomal RNA", at positions 355 to 774 of the family's 1533-position model. The record is from RNAcentral.